UAACUUAGUGGCGGACGGGUGAGUAACGCGUGGGUAACCUGCCUUACACAGGGGGAUAACACUUAGAAAUAGGUGCUAAUACCGCAUAAGCGCACAGUCCCGCAUGGGACAGAUGAAAAACAUUAGUGGUGUAAGAUGGACCCGCGUCUGAUUAGCUUGUUGGCGGGGUAACGGCCCACCAAGGCGACGAUCAGUAGCCGGCCUGAGAGGGUGGACGGCCACAUUGGGACUGAGACACGGCCCAAACUCCUACGGGAGGCAGCAG
RNAcentral lists this ribosomal RNA (265 nucleotides) under uncultured bacterium. RNAcentral's name for it is "partial 16S ribosomal RNA". It matches the Rfam family "Bacterial small subunit ribosomal RNA", at positions 88 to 354 of the family's 1533-position model. The record is from RNAcentral.